UACGUAGGGGGCAAGCGUUGUCCGGAUUUAUUGGGCGUAAAGCGCACGCAGGCGGUCUGCCAAGUUCGGAGUGACAGUUUCCAGCUUAACUGGAAAAGGUCUUCGAAAACUGGUGGACUUGAGGACUUGAGGGGGGAGACGGAAUUCCGGGUGGAGCGGUGAAAUGCGUAGAGAUCCGGAGGAACACCGAAGGCGAAGGCGAGUCUCCUGGCAAG
RNAcentral lists this ribosomal RNA (215 nucleotides) under uncultured bacterium. RNAcentral's name for it is "partial 16S ribosomal RNA". It matches the Rfam family "Bacterial small subunit ribosomal RNA", at positions 524 to 736 of the family's 1533-position model. The record is from RNAcentral.